Molecule: ribosomal RNA, 2177 nt
Filed under: human gut metagenome
Description: bacterial LSU rRNA
Rfam family: Bacterial large subunit ribosomal RNA
Source: RNAcentral
CUUACAUUCUGUGGCGAGGUUAACCGGAUAGGGAAGCCGAAGCGAAAGCGAGUUCGAAUAGAGCGAAAAGUCGCAGGGUGUAGACCCGAAACCAGAUGAGCUAUCCAUGGCCAGGUUGAAGGUGUGGUAACACACACUGGAGGACCGAACCGACUAGUGUUGCAAAAUUAGCGGAUGAGCUGUGGAUAGGGGUGAAAGGCCAAACAAAUCUGGAGAUAGCUGGUUCUCCCCGAAAACUAUUGAGGUAGUGCCUCGUGUUGAGGCUCCAGGGGGUAGAGCACUGUUUUGGCUAGGGGGACAUGUAGUCUUACCAAACCAAGGCAAACUCCGAAUACCUGGAAGCUAUACACGGGAGACAGAGCACCGGGUGCUAACGUCCGGACUCAAAAGGGAAACAACCCAGACCGCCGGCUAAGGUCCCCAAUAGCAGCUAAGUGGAAAACGAAGUGGAAAGGCCGUGACAACCAGGAAGUUGGCUUAGAAGCAGCCAUCCUUCAAAGAAAGCGUAAUAGCUCACUGGUCGAGUCUUUCUGCGCGGAAGAUGUAACGGGGCUAAGCUGCUAACCGAAGCCGCGGAUGCAUGGAAAAAUCCAUGCGUGGUAGGGGAGCGUUCUGUAAGUCUGAGAAGGCGGAUUGAGAAGUCUGCUGGAGAUAUCAGAAGUGCGAAUGCUGACAUGAGUAACGUUAAAGAGGGUGAAAAGCCCUCUCGCCGCAAGCCCAAGGUUUCCUGCUCUACGUUCAUCGGAGCAGGGUGAGUCGGCCCCUAAGGUCAGGCCGAAAGGCGUAGCCGAUGGGAACCGGGUUAAUAUUCCCGGACCGCUGUCAGAUGCGAAGGGGUGACGGAGAGGCUAAGGUCAUCCGAGUGUUGGACUACUCGGUACUUAGACGAGGACGGUUGGCAGGCAAAUCCGCCAACGGAUCGUCCGGAUCGGAAGUGGUGCUCCCACGGGAGCGAAGUGAUUGGAAACUCUUCCAGGAAAAACCUCUAAGCUACAGUCUGACAGGACCGUACCGUAAACCGACACUGGUGGGCGAGCUGAAUAUGCUCAGGCGCUUGAGAGAACUCGGGAGAAGGAACUCGGCAAAUUGACACCGUAACUUCGGAAGAAGGUGUGCCGCAGUAGCGUGAGAGGAGAAACACCUUGAGCGUGAGACGGUCUCAGAGAAUAGGUGGCUGCGACUGUUUAUUAAAAACACAGCACUCUGCAAAGUCGAAAGACGACGUAUAGGGUGUGAUGCCUGCCCGGUGCUGGAAGAUUAAUUGAUGGGCUGAGAGGCCUUGAUCGAAGUCCCAGUAAACGGCGGCCGUAACUAUAACGGUCCUAAGGUAGCGAAAUUCCUUGUCGGGUAAGUUCCGACCUGCACGAAUGGCAUAACGAUGGCCACACUGUCUCCUCCCGAGACUCAGUGAAGUUGAAGUGUUUGUGAUGAUGCAAUCUACCCGCGGCUAGACGGGAAGACCCCAUGAACCUUUACUGCAGCUUUGCAUUGAACUGUGAACCGAUUUGUGUAGGAUAGGUGGGAGACAGAGAAGGAGGAGCGCCAGCUCCUCUGGAGUCAACCUUGAAAUACCACCCUGAUUUGUUUGCGGUUCUAACCAAGACAGGAGCACACUGUUUGGGACCGUGCAUGGUAGGCAGUUUGACUGGGGCGGUCUCCUCCUAAAGGGUAACGGAGGAGUACGAAGGUACGCUAGGUACGGUCGGAAAUCGUGCUGAUAGUGCAAUGGCAAAAGCGUGCUUGACUGCGAGAGCCACAACUCGAGCAGAUGCGAAAGCAGGUCAUAGUGAUCCGGUGGCACUGAAUGGAAGGGCCAUCGCUCAACGGAUAAAAGGUACUCUGGGGAUAACAGGCUGAUACCGCCCAAGAGUUCAUAUCGACGGCGGUGUUUGGCACCUCGAUGUCGGCUCAUCUCAUCCUGGGGCUGAAGUCGGUCCCAAGGGUAUGGCUGUUCGCCAUUUAAAGAGGUACGUGAGCUGGGUUUAAAACGUCGUGAGACAGUUUGGUCCCUAUCUGCCGUGGGCGUUGGAAGAUUGACGGGGGCUGCUCCUAGUACGAGAGGACCGGAGUGGACGCACCUCUGGUGUACCGGUUGUCACGCCAGUGGCAUAGCCGGGUAGCUAAGUGCGGAAGAGAUAACCGCUGAAAGCAUCUAAGCGGGAAACUUGCCUGAAGAU